This 87-nucleotide microRNA precursor is filed under the name Olea europaea subsp. europaea. The record is from RNAcentral. Lineage: Eukaryota; Viridiplantae; Streptophyta; Magnoliopsida; Lamiales; Oleaceae.
AUAUGCUUGGCUCCUCAUACGCCAUACACGGAGGGCCAUCGGUUCUUCGGUGGGCUCUGCAAAUGGCAUACAGGGAGCCAGGCAUAU